Molecule: ribosomal RNA, 480 nt
Filed under: uncultured bacterium
Lineage: Bacteria
Description: bacterial SSU rRNA
Rfam family: Bacterial small subunit ribosomal RNA
Source: RNAcentral
GACGAACGCUGGCGGCGUGCCUAACACAUGCAAGUCAACUUGACUGAAGGAGCAAUCUGACAGUAGAGUGGCGCAAGGGUGCGUAACGCGUAAGUAACUUGCCCAAGGUAAGGAAUAACGUCGAGAAAUCGGCGCUAAUACCUCAUAAUGCAGCGGAUCCGCAUGGAUAUGUUGUUAAAGGUUUACCGCCUUGGGAUAGGCUUGCGUCUGAUUAGCUAGUUGGUGUGGUAACGGCACACCAAGGCUACGAUCAGUAACUGGUCUGAGAGGAUGAUCAGUCACACUGGAACUGAGACACGGUCCAGACUCCUACGGGAGGCAGCAGUGAGGAAUAUUGGGCAAUGCUCGAAAGAGUGACCCAGCAACGCCGCGUGGAGGAUGAAGGUAUUCUAUAUCGUAAACUCCUGUGAGAGCAGACGAAAGACAGAUUAUUAAUCUGGAUGACUGUAUGCUCAGAGGAAGCCCCGGCUAACUACGUCG